CAAAAGCUAACUUCUUGCUCGAAUCACCUGGGGAAAUGGGAGGUAAGAAACCACAAUCAAGGUUUUUCAGUAAGUACAACAGAGCCACGAAGACAAGCCGUAAUUACCGGAAACCAAAGGAGAUAGGUAAACAAGAUGUAUAUGCUGUGAUACUGAAAAGAAGUACAGUAGCUAUAACAGAUAUGAUAAGAAGCAAUAAAUAAAAUUGCUACUGUAGAAAA
Molecule: long non-coding RNA, 221 nt
Filed under: Ananas comosus (pineapple)
Lineage: Eukaryota; Viridiplantae; Streptophyta; Magnoliopsida; Poales; Bromeliaceae
Description: long non-coding RNA (ACOM_LNC044250)
Source: RNAcentral